GUCGAACGCGUCCGUGGGGCAACCUGCGGAUGAGUGGCGAACGGGUGAGUAAUGCAUCGGAACGUACCCCGUAGUGGGGGAUAACGCCGCGAAAGCGGCGCUAAUACCGCAUAUGCUCUACGGAGGAAAGCAGGGGACUCGCAAGGGCCUUGUGCUAUGGGAGCGGCCGAUGCCCGAUUAGCUUGUUGGUGAGGUAAAGGCUCACCAAGGCGACGAUCGGUAGCUGGUCUGAGAGGAUGAUCAGCCACACUGGGACUGAGACACGGCCCAGACUCCUACGGGAGGCAGCAGUGGGGAAUUUUGGACAAUGGGGGCAACCCUGAUCCAGCCAUGCCGCGUGCGGGAAGAAGGCCUUCGGGUUGUAAACCGCUUUUGGUCGGGAAGAAAAGGCCACUCUUAAUACGGGUGGUUGUUGACGGUACCGGCAGAAUAAGCACCGGCUAACUACGUGCCAGCAGCCGCGGUAAUACGUAGGGUGCGAGCGUUAAUCGGAAUUACUGGGCGUAAAGCGUGCGCAGGCGGUUUGCCGUGUCCGAUGUGAAAGCCCCGGGCUUAACCUGGGAACUGCAUUGGAAACUGGCAGGCUUGAGUAUGGCAGAGGGGGGUGGAAUUCCACGUGUAGCAGUGAAAUGCGUAGAGAUGUGGAGGAACACCGAUGGCGAA
RNAcentral lists this ribosomal RNA (663 nucleotides) under uncultured bacterium. RNAcentral's name for it is "bacterial SSU rRNA". It matches the Rfam family "Bacterial small subunit ribosomal RNA", at positions 61 to 719 of the family's 1533-position model. The record is from RNAcentral.